UUUUCUUAAUAAAUGUGCUUUCAUUUGAGUCUGUUGCCCACUCUUGAAUUCCUUCCUUCAUGUAGCCAAGAACCCACGUAGCCUCCCAGGCUGAACCCCAGUUUCAGGGUUCAUCCUAUGACACAAGCAUCACCACCAUCUACUUCCAGAACUUUUUCAUCAUCCCCAAAAAACUCUGGACUAAUUAAACACUAACUCCCUAUUCCCCCUUGCCCUCAACCCCUGGCAACCACCACUCUCCUUUUUGUCUCCAUAAAUUCGACUACUCCAGGUACCUCACAGGAGUGGAAUCUUACAGUAUGUGUCCCUUGUGACUGGUUUAUUUCACCUAGCAGAAUGUUUUAAGGUUCAUCUAUGUUGUGGCAUGUGUCAGAAUUUCCUUCCUUUUGAAGGCUGAAUAAUACUCUGUUGAAUGAAUAGAUCACAUUUUGCUUAUCCACUCCUCUGUUGAUGGACUCCUGGGUUGCUUCCACUCCUUGGCUAUUGUGAAUAAUGCUGCUAUGAAUAUGAGUAUGCAAAUACCUGUUGGAGUCCCCGCUUUCAAAGCUUUGGGGUUCACAUCCAGAAACGGAAUUGCUGGAUCAUAGGGUCAAUCUAUUUUGGAGGAAUAGUCAUACUGUUUUCCACAGUGACUGUACCAUUCUACAUUCCCGCAAAAUUAUUUCUUUCUAUCUGCCUUACCCCACUGGUUAGAACACAGAGAAGUUACUUUUUCGUUUCUAAAUCCCCAGCACCAGGAACAGUGUCUAGUUCAUAACAGAGCUCUAUAGAGAACUGUGGGAAAAAAAGUGCAAUUUAUAUGCUGCUGCCUCUUCAUUUGGCAUCUCAGUACGUGGCACACAGAAAGUAGGCACUGAAGAAGGGUUGAAGGACCUAAUGAGUACAUAAAUGAAUGCAGUUACCAUUGCUUUUCCCUUGGUCUAGACUGAGGACAGACAUUUUUGUAAAUUAAGCUACUUAGUUAAAUGUAGACCUCUGGCCAGUUUUGCUCAUCCAGAAGUUUCACUUUAAUGCCACUUCAAAGAUACUGUUUUCUGUAAAUCAGAUCAUAAUUGUGAUGAGAAUGAUGUGGGGAUGUGUCCUGGAGUCUCCCCAUCCCCCACCUCACAGCCUAAUGUAUAAUGCACAUUUUAUUCAGGACCAUUUUGGAUGUGUAGGAUCUGCUCCAGAACACAGGAUAAUGGGCCUCUUUUCUGGGGAUGGUGUGGUUCCAUCAUUAGAUAGCAGGUGUGUCAUCUGCAGGUACUGGUCUCACUAUUCAACCACUGGUUGAAAGAUUGGUUCAAGAUCAACUCUUUGAAAAAUCAAAGUAUUACUUUGACAAAUGCUUUUUUGAUAUUUCUCAACCAAUUAACCUUGAAAAGUUCACCAUGAAGUUGAAUUGCCUAAACUUAUACAUUGUACGGGCACUGAGAUGCAAUUUUUAGGGCUGUGUGGGCAUCAGCGAUGCCUGUUUUCAAUACAUUGUAGCUAUGCUCAGUGUCAUGGGCCUUGUAGGGCUGUGACCUCUUUUUGUCUAAGCAUUGAAGCCAAUCUAAAACUCUUUUCCAAAAAGAAAAUGUUUUCUUUGCUAAUAAGUCACCAUCAACUGCAGCAGAGGCAGCUGUUUGGGCUUCACAAUUUGCGGAAGCACAUGCCAGCCUGGCUCUGUCUUGUGCUUGUUCACAGUAUAUGGCUUUGGCCUUGUUCAGCAUCAGGGAGUAGCUGUUCCUUGGGUCAUGCAUGGAGUUGGAUUUAACCCUGGCUUUCAGCUGGCCAGUCCUCAUCAGGAGCUUGGGCAGGAGAAAUAGUACUCUGGUGAAUGGUCUGAAGACAUUAGAUCAUAGAUGACCUUGGCUGCAAGCAACUAAAUCCAGACCACAACAGUUUAUCCAAAUAGGGUUAACCAAACAAGUACAAUGUGUACCCAAAUGAUAUCAGUGUCCCAUGAUCCUUCCAUCAUCCACUGGAUGAUUUCUUAAUUCAAAGUCAAACAAAAACAAAAGCAGAUUUGAAACAUUCUCGUCCAUCCUUGAAAGUGGAUCACAUUCCAUGGUCUCGCUCUUUGAAGUGGUCAACUGAACAGCUGGAUACAUGGUCUGGAGCUGGGAGGAGGAGUGCCUUAGUCCAUUCCUGCUGCUAUGACAAAAUAGCUUAGACUUGGGGUAUGGCACUCUUCCUCAUGCUUACCAGAUGGCUGCUGGAAUUCCAGGAAUCACAUGCAAAUUCUAGUCAGGAGCAAAGAGGAAGAGACACAGUGAAAAGGGGUAUACAGCGGCAGAAGGAAGCUCCUCAAAUGAACUCUCCUAGAACUCUAGCCAGUAGCUUCUCCUUCUAUCACAGUGGCCAGAACUGUGACAAGUGACCAUCCUUAGGGGAAAAAAGAUGCUGAGAAAUGUGAAUUUUGUUGCCACCUUACAUUUUCAAAGGAGUUCCAUUCGUAAGUACAGAACGCUCAGAGAAGAGGCAGCAGAUCUAGGAUAUGGAGCAGCAGCUCUUAAGGGCACAGUGGGAAGGUUUCAAGACUGAGGAGGAUCUUGGAUUUGGGUAGGGGAAGGCAGUUCACAGUAUUGUGGAGGAAAUGCUGUGAAAGAGAAAGUGGAAGGCAUAGAAGCUUAAACUUUCAAUAUGACUGGUGAAUACAAGGAUGAAGGGCAAAGGGAAUUCAGAUUCAUGGUGGUCAGAUUAAGACCUUCAGCGGAUCUGUCUCCCAGCCCCACAUACCCACUUCCAUGUUCUGCUCUUUACUGAAGCUGAAAGUCUGCAACCUUCAUUCUCUGACUCCCUUACAUUUUCUUAGGCUUCUUGCUAGCUUCUGCCAAAAAGAGGCCCUGGCAGGAUAUUAGAUGGCAGGGGGCAGAGGUAAGGAUUCCAUGUUAACAGGUGCUGGAAGUUGCUGGUGUGGCAAUGAGAACUGGGCCCCGGUCAAGGCAGCACUACUUUGGUAGAUCCAGAAUCAACCAUGAUAACCGUGACAGUGUCUUCAACAGUGCAGCAGUAGACACAGGCCCCUGGUGCUGGAAUCCAAUACAGGGACAGGAGCAGCACGGAGUCACGGAACACCGUCUUGCCUUCAUGUCACUUUUCCAUUUCUUCUUUCUCCCUCUUACUCUACCAGCUACCUGUGGAGAUGUUGAACCUUUUAUCUGUAGCUGUCUGCUUAGGAACAGAAGAAAAGGCAGCUCAUUGCUUGACUCAGCUUUCGGCUUAAUUUUUUUCUUUUGGCAGAGUGAAUUGGGGUCCCAGGUGUUUAUUUUCCUUUUGUAGUACCUUUCCUCAACAUGCAAUUUAAUACAAAAAGAACAAUAAACCUUAACAAAGUUUGGCGUGUAUUA
Long non-coding RNA from Pan troglodytes (chimpanzee), 3314 nucleotides. RefSeq lists it as uncharacterized. The record is from RefSeq and is a predicted model, not a curated record. NCBI's taxonomy places the organism in Eukaryota, Metazoa, Chordata, Mammalia, Primates, Hominidae. The transcript has 2 exons.